GUGAGGAAUAUUGGGCAAUGGGCGAAAGCCUGACCCAGCCACGCCGCGUGAGUGAUGAAGGCCUUCGGGUUGUAAAGCUCUGUGGGGAGGGAAGAAAAAGCGCAGGAGUAACUGCCUGUGUGUUGACGGUACCUCCUUAGCAAGCACCGGCUAACUCUGUGCCAGCAGCCGCGGUAAUACAGAGGGUGCAAACGUUGCUCGGAAUUACUGGGCGUAAAGCGCGUGUAAGCUGACAUGCAAGUCGGGUGUGAAAUCCCAGGGCUCAACCUUGGAACUGCACUCGAAACUGCACGUCUUGAGUACUGGAGAGGGAAGCGGAAUUCCGGGUGUAGAGGUGAAAUUCGUAGAUAUCCGGAGGAACACCAGUGGCGAAGGCGGCUUCCUGGACAGUAACUGACGCUGAGACGCGAAAGCGUGGGGAGCAAACAGGAUUAGAUACCCGGGUAGUCC
This 450-nucleotide ribosomal RNA is filed under the name uncultured bacterium. Its description in RNAcentral is "partial 16S ribosomal RNA". It matches the Rfam family "Bacterial small subunit ribosomal RNA", at positions 354 to 796 of the family's 1533-position model. The record is from RNAcentral.